Molecule: ribosomal RNA, 92 nt
Filed under: uncultured bacterium
Lineage: Bacteria
Description: partial 16S ribosomal RNA
Source: RNAcentral
CGGAUCGUAAACUUCUUUUAGAGGGGAUGAAUGUCUUGGUGAAUAGCCAAGAGUGACAGUACUCUUUGAAUAAGCCACGGCUAACUACGUGA